This 196-nucleotide ribosomal RNA is filed under the name uncultured bacterium. RNAcentral describes it as "partial 16S ribosomal RNA". It matches the Rfam family "Bacterial small subunit ribosomal RNA", at positions 328 to 539 of the family's 1533-position model. The record is from RNAcentral.
ACGCUCGACACCUACGGAGGCAGCAGUGGGGAAUAUUGCACAAUGGGGGAAACCCUGAUGCAGCGACGCCGCGUGGAGGAAGAAGGUCUUCGGAUUGUAGACUCCUGUUGUUGGGGAAAAGAGGAUGGUACCCAACAAGGAAGUGACGGCUAACUACGUGUCAGCAGCCGCGGUAAUCUGAGCGGGCUGGCAAGGC